RNAcentral lists this ribosomal RNA (351 nucleotides) under uncultured bacterium. Its description in RNAcentral is "bacterial SSU rRNA". It matches the Rfam family "Bacterial small subunit ribosomal RNA", at positions 335 to 678 of the family's 1533-position model. The record is from RNAcentral.
ACUCCUACGGGAGGCAGCAGUGGGGAAUAUUGCACAAUGGGCGCAAGCCUGAUGCAGCCAUGCCGCGUGUAUGAAGAAGGCCUUCGGGUUGUAAAGUACUUUCAGCAGUGAGGAAGGUGGGUAUGUUAAUAGCAUACUCAUUUGUACGUUAGCUGCAGAAGAAGCACCGGCUAACUCCGUGCCAGCAGCCGCGGUAAUACGGAGGGUGCGAGCGUUAAUCGGAAUUACUGGGCGUAAAGCGCAUGCAGGUGGUUGUUAAGUCAGAUGUGAAAGCCCGGGGCUCAACCUCGGAAUUGCAUUUGAAACUGGCAAACUAGAGUACUGUAGAGGGGGUAGGAAUUUCAGGUGUAG